Monopterus albus (swamp eel) is the source of this 951-nucleotide long non-coding RNA. RefSeq lists it as uncharacterized. The transcript has 2 exons. Lineage: Eukaryota; Metazoa; Chordata; Actinopteri; Synbranchiformes; Synbranchidae. The record is from RefSeq and is a predicted model, not a curated record.
CUAACUGCAGUAAAUUCUUUACACUAAUGAUACACAUUGUAGUCCUUCGAUUUGGUAUUUGGAGAUCAUUCACACAUUAAGUUAACAUAUAUACACAGUCAAAAUAGGACUGGUCAAUCGUACUGUACACCCAUCUGCUUCAAGUAAAAACCUCAAUAUCCCACAGUUCAUGAAGGCAACAUCCUCAGAGUGACGGAGGGGGAUCCCCGGCGGUGUGACGUAGUUGGGCAGCCUGAGUUGUGAAUUCCUACCCAACACCGAAACACAAUGAAUCAUUACAAGCGCAUUUAAUCGGCACAGUCAGAAAAUUCGCUGAUUCAGGUGCAGCCGAACUCCCAUUCACUUCAGUGCAGACCUUCAGAGGCAGAGGAACGAAAUGGAAUGAGAAACAAAAAAAGAAAGAAAGACACGCAGCUGCUCAGCGCUUCAACUAUGGCUCCAACGAAGCUCGUCGGAACGCUCGCCCAGUCCGCUUCACAGGAGUGGACCACAGUGCAGGAUGAGAAGUCUGCUGUGCUCCACCGAGUGUGAGACAGGAGGAACUAUCACCUGAGCGGCGACCCUCCCCUCGGGGAACACAAACAGACACCUUCACUCCCCUCAACCUGGAAAGUGGAGGCUGGAAACGGCUGAAAUCUGCUUGCGCGCACAGUGCCUUUCCAGAACUCUCCUCUUCUCACUUCCUGCUGGAGAUGCACCAGUAGCCUCCGUCACUCUGAUAAACUUGGGAAAACUUUGGCCCACGGAUUUCUGCCACUGAACCUGCCUGCGUUCAGUCUCCAUGCACAGUGAGCAUCGGUGAAGGGAAACGCCUCUGUGUGAUAUUAUUAAAAGUCCUGCAUCACCUCUUCUAGUCCGGGGCCAUCGCAGCGAAGAUGCCGGUCCGGAGGGGACAUGUAGCUCCGCAGAACACCUUCCUGGACACCAUCAUCAGGAAAUUCGACAGUCAAA